This 378-nucleotide ribosomal RNA is filed under the name Salmonella enterica subsp. enterica serovar Derby. RNAcentral describes it as "bacterial SSU rRNA". It matches the Rfam family "Bacterial small subunit ribosomal RNA", at positions 69 to 447 of the family's 1533-position model. RNAcentral also lists the same sequence under 5 other names. The record is from RNAcentral. Lineage: Bacteria; Pseudomonadati; Pseudomonadota; Gammaproteobacteria; Enterobacterales; Enterobacteriaceae.
CAGGAAGCAGCUUGCUGCUUUGCUGACGAGUGGCGGACGGGUGAGUAAUGUCUGGGAAACUGCCUGAUGGAGGGGGAUAACUACUGGAAACGGUGGCUAAUACCGCAUAACGUCGCAAGACCAAAGAGGGGGACCUUCGGGCCUCUUGCCAUCAGAUGUGCCCAGAUGGGAUUAGCUUGUUGGUGAGGUAACGGCUCACCAAGGCGACGAUCCCUAGCUGGUCUGAGAGGAUGACCAGCCACACUGGAACUGAGACACGGUCCAGACUCCUACGGGAGGCAGCAGUGGGGAAUAUUGCACAAUGGGCGCAAGCCUGAUGCAGCCAUGCCGCGUGUAUGAAGAAGGCCUUCGGGUUGUAAAGUACUUUCAGCGGGGAGG